Molecule: long non-coding RNA, 495 nt
Filed under: Pan troglodytes (chimpanzee)
Lineage: Eukaryota; Metazoa; Chordata; Mammalia; Primates; Hominidae
Description: long non-coding RNA NONPTRT004164
Source: RNAcentral
AUCUCCAACAUAAGAAGCUAAGAAGGCUGCAGCUUCCACCGGGCCUCUUGGGCUGCGUACUCUUGACACUCCUGCUCUGAGAACUAAGCAGGCAUAUUUCAUAUCAAAAUAGUAAAGAACUUCCUUUCCAAAGGCAGGACUUGCUUCUGUGAGGUACUGAGCCACCCGUCCCUGGAGGAAAGCAAGAAUAGAGCAGAUCAGAGCCCAGGAAGACAUCUUGGAUGAUGGGUGAGAUCUUCCUGGGGUUCUUGCUGUACCUGCUGACAAGGGGCAGCUCUCUCUAAAUGCCACGGAGCUGGAAGGCUGCAGCCUGGAACUUGCUGCAGCCCACCCAGGCAAGCAAGAGAUGACAUAGUUUCAGCACCUGUAUCUAUGGCACCCAGAAGCCAGAUCCAACCCCCCAGCCCUUAUCUUUGACCUUGAGCCAGUCUGAAUUGGUAACUGGAAGUCACUUAUCUACCAGAUUCAACUAUCAGGAUGUUACUAAUAAAAAAU